GGCAGUUCUCGGGUGAUGCACCCUGGAAUCAGGCUCCCUCCUCUCUGGUUCUGGGUGUGUCGCUCGAGAACCAUA
Myotis lucifugus (little brown bat) is the source of this 75-nucleotide non-coding RNA. Lineage: Eukaryota; Metazoa; Chordata; Mammalia; Chiroptera; Vespertilionidae. The record is from Rfam.